UGCAGUCGAACGCGAAAGUGCCUUCGGGUGCGAGUAGAGUGGCGGACGGGUGAGUAACGCGUGGGAAUCUACCUUGCAGUGGGGGAUAACUCGGGGAAACUCGAGCUAAUACCGCAUACGUCCUACGGGAGAAAGGGGGCCUCUGGCUCCCGCUGCAGGAUGAGCCCGCGUCCGAUUAGCUUGUUGGUGGGGUAACGGCCCACCAAGGCGACGAUCGGUAGCUGGUCUGAGAGGACGACCAGCCACACUGGGACUGAGACACGGCCCAGACUCCUACGGGAGGCAGCAGUGGGGAAUAUUGGACAAUGGGCGAAAGCCUGAUCCAGCAAUGCCGCGUGUGUGAAGAAGGCCUGCGGGUUGUAAAGCACUUUCAGUAGGGAAGAAAAGCUCAGGGUUAAUACCCCUGGGUCUUGACGUUACCUACAGAAGAAGCACCGGCUAACUCCGUGCCAGCGGCCGCGGUAAUACG
This 469-nucleotide ribosomal RNA is filed under the name uncultured bacterium. RNAcentral describes it as "bacterial SSU rRNA". It matches the Rfam family "Bacterial small subunit ribosomal RNA", at positions 56 to 527 of the family's 1533-position model. The record is from RNAcentral.